Molecule: ribosomal RNA, 497 nt
Filed under: uncultured bacterium
Lineage: Bacteria
Description: partial 16S ribosomal RNA
Rfam family: Bacterial small subunit ribosomal RNA
Source: RNAcentral
GAUGAACGCUGGCGGCGUGCCUAAUACAUGCGAGUCGAGCGAACAGACGAGGAGCUUGCUCCUCUGACGUUAGCGGCGGACGGGUGAGUAACACGUGGAUAACCUACCUAUAAGACUGGGAUAACUUCGGGAAACCGGAGCUAAUACCGGAUAAUAUAUUGAACCGCAUGGUUCAAUAGUGAAAGACGGUUUUGCUGUCACUUAUAGAUGGAUCCGCGCCGCAUUAGCUAGUUGGUAAGGUAACGGCUUACCAAGGCAACGAUGCGUAGCCGACCUGAGAGGGUGAUCGGCCACACUGGAACUGAGACACGGUCCAGACUCCUACGGGAGGCAGCAGUAGGGAAUCUUCCGCAAUGGGCGAAAGCCUGACGGAGCAACGCCGCGUGAGUGAUGAAAGUCUUCGGAUCGUAAAACUCUGUUAUUAGGGAAGAACAAAUGUGUAAGUAACUAUGCACGUCUUGACGGUACCUAAUCAGAAAGCCACGGCUAACUACGUG